AGAAAGAAGAGCAUUAUUCUGAAGAACAUUCCUUAAGUUUCCCUCUUGAGGAGCUGAUCACAGGGAAGCCUGAGAGUCACUGUCCUUGCCCCUCAGAGUAUGCAGAGGGCAGGAGUUUGUUCUUCCUCCCCAUGUGAAGAUAAAAGAAAUGGCCGGGCACGGUGGCUCACACCUGUAAUCCCAGCACUUUGUGAGGCCGAAGCGGGCGGAUCACGAGAUAAAUUAGUUGGCAGGACCACUGUGUCCAGAGCUGGUUCCUUCUGCUGGGUUCGUGGUCUCCCUGACUUUAAGAAUGAAGCCGUGGACCUUCACGGUGAGUGUUACAGCUCUUAACGAUGGGACGGACCCAAAGAGUAAGCAGUAGCAAGGUUUAUUGCGAAGAGCGAAACCACAAAGCUUCCACACCCUGGAAGGUGACCCCAGCUGGUUGCUGCUGCUGGUUGGGGUGACCAGCUUUUAUCCCCUUAUUUGUCCCCUCUCAUGUUCUGUUUCUGUCCUAUCAGCGUGUCCUUUUUCCAAUCCUCCCCGCAAUUGAUUACUUUUAGAAUCCUGCUGAUUGGUGUGUUUUAUAGAGCGCUGAUUGGUGCAUUUUACAAAUCUCUUGUAAGAUCGGAAAGUUCCUGAUUGGUGUGUUUUACAAUCCUCUUGUAAGACAGGAAAGUUCUCCAAGUGCGCACUUGACCCAGGAAGUCCAGUUGGCCUCACCUCUCACUACCAGAGGCUAAUUUCCAUCCUGGUAUUUCUCAGGCCCAUAGAUAGUGUAAUUUCAAAUCCAAACCAAUAUGGCUAUUGACUUGUAUUUGGAAAUUACCUUCUUUUUUUUCUU
This is a long non-coding RNA of Rhinopithecus roxellana (golden snub-nosed monkey), 826 nucleotides long. RefSeq lists it as uncharacterized. The transcript has 3 exons. Lineage: Eukaryota; Metazoa; Chordata; Mammalia; Primates; Cercopithecidae. The record is from RefSeq and is a predicted model, not a curated record.